GAAUUGCGAUAAGUAAUGCGAAUUGAGAAUUCUUUGUUGCGAUGGAUUUGGGUUAUUUGCGUAUUUUUUUAUUCGCAAUUACCUUCAAUUUAAUGUAUGACCACCGUCUGCUGAUGGUACUGAGGUUUGAGUGCAUGAAUAAGGUUUAUUCCUUUUUGAUUUCUCUCUUGUAAUCUCUGGUACAAUGUUGGCUGAAGGUUUGGGCAUCUCAUAUACAUUACCGAAAUGUUGAUUCAGUUUGAAUCUCAUUUUGAAAACUUGGUCUCAAAUCAGGUAGGAAAACCCGCUGAACUUAA
Molecule: unclassified non-coding RNA, 296 nt
Filed under: uncultured fungus
Lineage: Eukaryota; Fungi
Description: sequence contains ITS1
Source: RNAcentral